Molecule: ribosomal RNA, 447 nt
Filed under: uncultured bacterium
Lineage: Bacteria
Description: partial 16S ribosomal RNA
Rfam family: Bacterial small subunit ribosomal RNA
Source: RNAcentral
UGGGAAGUUUAUGGACAAUGGGCGCAAGCCUGAUCCAGCAAUGCCGCGUGAGUGAAGAAGGCCUUCGGGUUGUAAAGCUCUUUUGUCAGGGAAGAAACGGCUGUGGCUAAUAUCCACGGCUAAUGACGGUACCUGAAGAAUAAGCACCGGCUAACUACGUGCCAGCAGCCGCGGUAAUACGUAGGGUGCAAGCGUUAAUCGGAAUUACUGGGCGUAAAGCGUGCGCAGGCGGUUUUGUAAGUCUGACGUGAAAUCCCGGCGUAUACCUGGGAAUGGCAUUUGUGACUGGAAGGCUAGAGUGUGUCAGAGGGGUGGAGAAUGAUCCACGUGUAGCAGUGAAAUGCGUAGAGAUGUGGAGGAAUACCGAUGGCGAAGGCAGCCCCUCGGUAGGUAAUACACUGACGCUCAUGCACGAAAGCGUGGGGGAGCAAACAGGAUUAGAUACCC